Molecule: long non-coding RNA, 690 nt
Organism: Neltuma alba
Lineage: Eukaryota; Viridiplantae; Streptophyta; Magnoliopsida; Fabales; Fabaceae
Exons: 3
Source: RefSeq, a predicted model, not a curated record
UGCUUCAGCUUCAAACUCCUUUUUGUGGGCACGUUUCCAGUCCCUCUCCCAUCUUCAGCCACCUCUUCGUCCCUGCUUCUCAUCUUCCUCAAUACGCCACAUUUUGUUCUUGAGUGGCAAGAUCCUCAUCUCCUUCGCUGACACGGUGCUUCUCAAAGAAGCCAAGGAGGAAUUAUAAAUACAGCGAAGAUGAAUGGAUAGAGAGAGAGAGAGAGAAGGAAACCGAGGGAACCCGAGGAGCAAGUCGAAGGGAAAGAAGAAGAGGAAGGAGGGAGGAUUUUCCACAUGCAAUCUGAUCUUUGAACCAUGGUUUUAAUUGGUGGCUCGGUUUACUAAGAAGAAACUCAAACCAAGGUACCCGGCAAGAAAGGGCCCAAUUCAUCCAAGAGGAAAGAGGAGUUGGUGGAAGCAUAGCUAAGGUUGAAGGAGAGAAGAACUUAGUGCUUAGUUAAUUGAUUAAUCUUGAAUACAUUCGAUGUAAUGUUUCCUCUUUUCUUUGUGAUAUGUGAUGUUUAUACUUCCUUUUGAGAAGUUACGUAGAUUUCACUUAUAGGGUUUCCUACAUAAAGAUGAGUGAUAGGGGGUAGUUUAGCAUAGAUGGGGAGUUAGUGUGUAUGUAUUUAUGUAUAUAUUGAUAAUAUAUCUGGGGCAUGAAAGAAUUAGAAUUUACAAAGCAUGAUUUAUUAGAGU